This 202-nucleotide ribosomal RNA is filed under the name Hetaerina majuscula. RNAcentral's name for it is "partial large subunit ribosomal RNA". The record is from RNAcentral. Lineage: Eukaryota; Metazoa; Arthropoda; Insecta; Odonata; Calopterygidae.
AAAAAUUAUCUUACUAUCUUUGAUAUAAGGGUUAUAUAAGAGAAUUAUCUUUUGCUUUAGUAUUUUAUUGAAAAAGUUUGUUUUGUAAUAGUUUAUUAGUACUGUAAAGUAAUGUUGAAAUAUCUUGAAAAAUUAUUUUAUAAAAAGCAUACAUUUUUGUAGUACCUUUUGUAUCAGGGGUGAUUUAAUUUAUCUAAUGUAU